This 8688-nucleotide long non-coding RNA is filed under the name Heterocephalus glaber (naked mole-rat). RNAcentral describes it as "lncRNA (ENSHGLG00100044632.1)". The record is from RNAcentral. Lineage: Eukaryota; Metazoa; Chordata; Mammalia; Rodentia; Bathyergidae.
AAUUGCUAGUCACUCCUAAAGCAACAGCAGAAUAGGAGCACUGGUUCUUCUCCUGGGUCACUGCAAGGGUAUCUGUCCAUUGUCUCUAAAGCAGAGCUCAUAGAGAGCACCUACAAGAUCACCAUCCACAAAACAUUGGGACAGAUGAAUAUCUAAUGAAUGGUUUUGAUAGACCACAGGUAAUGUCUCUUGUCAAAUCUUAUUUAUGACAUGGAGUCCUUCUUUCUUUAUACUCAGGUACCAUUUUGAAACUUGAAUUUUGUUUCAUAGAAAAAAGUAUAAUUGAACAUCAAAUAAGGUUUAUGAAUAAUUAAAAUGUUAAUGGAAAACAGUUUUACUGGAACAAGUCUAUAAGCAAUAAAAAUAGGGGGAAAGUGCCAUAUUAUCUUAUAGGUCGGUGUCACCAGAUGGUCGCCUUGCACUUGCAUAAGACAUUCCAGAAGAGUACAGGAGAGUAAUGAGGGGAAGAAGAUGAAUAAAAUGUAUUUUAAACAUUGAAAAUCUGGGGGGGCGGGCAGCGGGGAUUUAGCUCAGUGGUUACGCCGCCUGCCUUGCAAGUGGAAGGACCUGAGUUCGAUCCCUGGUAUCAAAAAAAAAAAGAAAAUGUGCUUGGUAAACAUUGAAAAUCAAUAUAUCACAAAACAAUCAGGUACAAAAGGAAACUUCAGCCAGGUGUGGUGGUACAUGCCUGUAAUCCCAACACAGGAGAGGCUGGUGCAGGAGGAUUGCCAUGAGUUCAAGGAUACCUUGGACUACAUAGUAAGUUAGGGCCAGUCUGAAAUGCAAAGUGAGACCCUGCCUCAAACUCCGCCCAAAAAAGGAAAACUUCAAAAACAUUGUGUCAUUUACAAAUGACAUCUUUGACUCACUAAAAAAAAUAUAGCUGGAAAGUAUAAUUUUAACAACAGUCAAUCCCUUCUAAGCAAGUUGAUACCUUACAUAAUAUAUAUGAAAGAUUCAAAUUCCUGCUUUCAUGAGGCUGUACUAUUAGUAGAACAAAUGACAAAUGCAUCUCAGAAAAGGAAAAUAGUCUUCAAUGGGUUCACAUGUAUACAGAACAUUAAUUGAUGAUAGAGCUGGUGUUACAUGUGUCUGGAGAAAAACAGAAUGUUUCAUUUAUGUUCAAGGAGAAACAUUUAUAUAUUUGGAAUCCUGAACUAUAUACUCUUCUAUGUAUAAUAAUUAAGUUACAUAUGGAAAAGGGAAAGAUAAACUUGAAUGCCUUCAGAAUUCAUAGUGAAAUAAAGUGUUUUCUCAGAAGGAAAUCAAGUAACCAUCAGAAUUAGGAGGAUAAAUUGAAAUACUGAUAGUCAUCAGAAAUAAGACAAAAUAUUUCCUGUGCACACAGUAUAAAAAUUUUGCUCAGGGGAUAAAGAGCAAUAAAUACAAAUCUUUAAAAACUGACUAUGACAUAUCUAACCCAAGAAAAAACACUGAAUAGAAAACAAGAACCAAAUCUGUUUUUGAGAAAAUCACCAAAAAAGAAGUGUGGAAGAACAUAAUAAGAAAGUAGACUUAUGCAAGAAUGGAGACUCAUGUGAUAUACUCUACACUCAUUUCCUUUACUUUGGAGUUGACCAGUGACUUCUUUGCAGUAUUCAGAGCGUACACUGUGCUAUUAUUCCUAGAGAUAGAUGGGAUUCUUUUCAAGUACUCUACACUUGAAAAAUCCUAAACCACAUGACCAAUGGAAUGGAUAAGAAAGUGCUUUUCCAUUGAUUCACAUAUCAGCACUUGUGAACAGUAGAGAAACAAAUCAAAGUAAAAAUAUUUCUCUUUGCAAUGUCUGUAGUACUCACUGAAAAUUCCAAGGGAAGAAACUAAAAGAAUAUGGUUCAUCAUAGAAAAUUACACAUGGCAAACUUGGGGAAAGUCACUAAAGUGCAAGAGUAACCAUACAUGGGGCAGCAGAGGUUGGAGUCAAGUAGGGUAUCAGUCACGAAUACUCUCAUCGAUUGCCCCAGGCCCAAUGAUGAUACUCCCAGAAUAUUUAUACUGUUGUUAAAUCACACCAAUGAUUUUCAAAAUAAAAUUUAUUGCCAAACAUUUAAACCCUAAAUUACCAUUAAGAAAGUACACAUUAAUAUAUGUGUUUCUUUUCAUAUAUAACAAGAUGAGACAUCACACAUUAGUCAGCAAUAAGCAAAGCAGCACAGUUGUAAACACGAGAUCCACAGACUGCCAGCAAGCAGUGGUCAAAUUGAAUAUUGCUCAUCAGGAGAAAAGGUUAGAUUGCCAGAUAAAGAGAACAGAUAUCAGAGCUGAUCAAUGUCUAGACGUCUGGGUUAUGGUGCCAAUGCUAUGCCCACCUGGACAGGAGUGGUUGUUACAGUGAAACUGAUGAGGACAAAUUAAAUAGCAAGCUAUGCAAAAAGUCACACUAGUCUAUCAUUGAUUCAACACAAUCUUCAGAAGCCAGAUUUGACAUUAUUCAAUUUGCACCUCAAAGUAAAUAAUGAUUACAGUGGUUAGAUAAGGAUGAAAAAGCAAUUCUCUAAAAAGAACAGUCCUCAAUAUAUAUACAGUAUCAAACUACAUGAGGCAAAGCAUGAAUGUGAAGGAAAAAAUCACUGAUUCACAACUAUGUCUGAAGAUUUAAAAUCAACUCUAUCUGUUGAUAGCUGAAGAAGGCAGAAAAAUGUGUAAUGGAACAGUUAAAAUUAACCACAUCAUGCUUCACAGGGAUGGAUUGGAUAUUCCAUAAUACUCCAUCAAAUUAACUACACACUACGCAGUCUUCUCAAAAUCACAAGAAAUAUUCACCUAAAUAGACCAUGUUCAGAGCAAUAAGAAAGAGCUUAGCUUUUAGGGGGCAAAACUGAAAUGUGUUAUGGACAUAUACCCACUCCCUACAAUGAAUGUAAUUAUUAUGUACUGCAAAAAUGGAUGAAGCAAAGUUGUAAAAAAGAGAAAACAACUUUAAUGUGUUCAAUGUAAUGGAAAUCAUGCAAAGUAGGUUCUCACACCUAUUGAAAUGAAAUUUAAAACCAACAGCAGAACUAUAUUUAAAAUAGUCCUAAGAAUUAGAGAUUAAAUCACAAAUUUUAAAGUAUACAUGCUUCAGAUGGAAGUCAUGAUUAAAUAUUAAGCAUUUCAUAAUGUAUUAAAAUGAAUGUAUGGCAUAUUAUCAUUUCAUGGGUCCAGAAAUAGGUGCUUCAAACCAAAUUAAAAACAAAAAAUACACAUAUCAGAAAAGAAUAAAGAUCACAGCAUCAGAACAUUAGAGAAAUAACAGCAACAUAAAAUGAAAAUCACAGACAAAAGGAAAUGGCAUUCCUCAUUAUCCAUGUAGAUUUUAGACAACAGAGAAAUUAUUAAAACUAUAUAAAGGCAUUUUUAAAUAGUUAAUGUAAUCAAUUACAAUAAAAUUUAGAGAACAAAAAUCAUAAAAUCAUGUCAAUGGAUGCAUACAAAACACAAGAAAAAUCAAAAAGUAAUAGGCAGAGAUUAAGGUGAAACACAUAAAAUUGUCUUCACUUGCAUUGGAAAAAUUAAAGUAUCAACAAAAACCUAAUAGAAUUACUAAAAUAUUGCACCACAGUAUAGCCAUAGCUGAAUACGCAAAAAUAUGCCACGUGAUUAUGUAUCAGGGAUGUACAAGUGAAGUGGAAAUUGUAAAUCUUACACCAUAGGCAGCGCUCACACAGACACAAGUUUAGAAACGUUAAAAAGCCCAUGUAUGGAAGGUUCAACACUAGAUCCAAAAAGUACAAGAUAAAACUGCAAAAAUAUACUCAAAUAUAUUACACGGACAAAUAUAAGUAAAUUAAACUAUUCCACUUGUUGGCAAAACACAAUAAACCCCUUAUCUAUAACAUAAUUGAAAGUUUAUGUAAGAAUUUUAUACAAAUUUUGAAUUUUUCACUACCUUCAUGCUGGCAUUUUUUCUUAUUCUAUCAAAAAUUCUAAUUCAUUAUCACUUGAAGAAAAAAAGUAGUAUUUUUAAUAUAUUAAAAAUUUAAAAACUAAUGCCAAAUUGAAAUAACCCAAGCCCCCAGGAAAUGGAAUAGGGAGUGAAGUGGCUGCAAUAUUAAUUUUCCUACAAUCCUAUGAGCAGAAGUUGACGUAAAGAAAUCACAAAUAAUCGUUUCACCACAAUAAUAAUAUUAACCUCAAUUAUUAACUUAUUCAAAAUUCCAAAUACUUGAAGCCACAUAUCAUUUUGCUUGAUGAGAUUGUUAAGUUCAAAAAAGCUCCCCAAAUAUCUAUCCUGUGGGCACUGGGGGUAGCUAGAGGAAAUCGGAGAGCUGCACUGGGAGGAAGCAUUAGAUGCAUCAUGAUUCUAUGGAUCUUUAGGCACAUUUUAUGGUAAAUGCAAAACAAAUAAUUUACUUCUAAAUUUUUAUGGACUUUCUUAGAAUCAAUUCUUCAUUUUUAAGUAGGAAAAUCACAAUCUUAUGGGUAAAUCAUGAAAAUCAACUCUUAAAUCCUUGAGGUAACUUGUAUUUUAUACAAGCAACUCUGCAAAACAAGCAAAAGAGAAGCUGGUUAGGGAAGAAACCUGCUUCAUUGCAGUUCACAAAAGCACCCACACUCAGAAGGUUGAACACACUCCUGAGGUUAUACACAACGCACUGUGCCCCUGCAGGCCAGGACAGCUCAAUCACAGGUGGAGAGACAGAGAAGUAUGAGAAGUCAAGAAAUUCAAGGAUGGGGCUUCUUCACAUCCUACUUAGCCAUCUUCACAGAGUGAAAUUUCAAGUCCUCACCCUCAAUUCUGAACAGAGAGAAACAUUUCCCACAAUCAGCUGAAGGCUGACCUUUGUCUUUCUCCAGGAUUUCUUUUGAAUUCAAAUGUGUAUUGUUUGCUGAGCUCUAAACAAUUCUCCAAAAAAAAAUAAAGGUGGGCCCCCAAUUAACACACCAUGGAGAGUGACCAAAACUUUUGACAAAUUCAAUGUGCUGCUCUAAUGCACUGUUUCAAGUGAAGAUUGGUGUCCAAAGCAGGUGAUGCUGUUUUUCACUAUUGUUAGACCCAGCGAGAGAGAACCAACCAGAGAGCGGUGUUAAAUCCACACAGGAGUUUAUUACCGGCCAGGACCUGAGCCGAGCAUCGGACUCAAGCCCCGACUGGGGGGAGACAGACAUGUUCUAUACACCUUUGAGGCCAGCAGUUUCCAGGACCCCUAUGGGAUAGAACUAGCAAAGCAAGCAAAAGAUUGAUUGGCUUCAAAAAUAAAAAAAAGAAUCUGAAUUCUGAAGACUUGCUGCUGGAAGCCUGAAAGUACUGGGGACCAAUAUCCAAAGGCAAUGGCAAAGACCAGAGCUCCUCCACAGAAAAAAAAGACAAUUCAUCCGUCCUUACUCCACCUAGGGUACAAGCUUACUGGUUGACGCAAACCUCAUACAGCACACAUCUUCCCUCCUUAGGCUGUGGCCUACACGCACAAACACUCAGGGCUUUACUAAAUCUGCUAGGUGGCUCAUACACCACUCAAGUGGACAUAUCACAAUUCAUGAUCACGAAUACCUAAGUUGAGUCUUUCUCUAAACUUGCCCUUCAUAGAUACUCUUCAGAUGUACAAAUUAUAGUAUGAUUCCAGCACAUCUUUGCAUGUAGAAGCCAAACAUUGUGCAAUAAAAGCCUCAAGGCAACCACAGUCACGACUUCAGAAAGAACAAAUCACCUGCACACGAGACAUCUGCUUCCUAAUACUCUGCACCUUGUCACGGUCAACAGUUCUUUAAACUGUGUUGAUUUAAAGCUUAAAAACAAUUUUUUCUCAUGAGAAAAUGAAGAUGGGAAAAAUUUAUUUUCACAGGAUAAAAUUUAUAGAAAAAGAGAUAAAAUGUGCAUUGUCUAUUUUUUCCUGUGCAUUGGUGAGUUCUUCACCAUUCUAGAUGUAUAUUGGCCCAAACUGCUCUGUGCCUAGAUAUUUACAUGCUGUUUUAUCUUUUUAAAACUACAGUAUUUCUUUACUCCCACACCUUUACUAACCCAUCUAGUCAUUUCUGUAAUAAAUUCUAAGCAUUUUAGAAGUUCCUCUCUAUUUCUGAAAGUAUAAUGAUCCUAAGGUUGAAUCCUCAUAAUGCUGAAUCAAAUCACUCAACUUAAAUUACUCAAUUGAUGCUGUAUUACAGGACAUAUGAUGACAUUUUGUGUAGACUAGGGACAUAUUUGUUGUGGCUAUUAUCAAUGUCCUGUCACACCAUCUGGAUUACAAGAACACACAUAGAAUACAAAAAUAUUUGGCCAUAUUCUAGAGAUUAUGAUCCACAGGCUUCUAAGACUCCUAAAUCUCCUAAGAAAAGAAGUAAUGAGAAAACUAAAGAAGCAAAAAAGGAAACAAAAGAACAGAUGGUAGAGAAAGUGAGGAAAGAGUCUGGAUAGUGAGAAAGAAGGAAUAUAGGGACCAAAGUGCCCCUUUAACUACACUCCCAGAAACAAAACUCUGAAGAAGAGUUGAUGGGUAAGGCUUUUUUCAUUUUGUUCUUCUGGUCCUCAUUCCUGAGGAUGAAUAUGAUGCAGUUUUGACCAUGGUGUGUCAGAUCUUUCAAAGAGACUCGGAUAUUUCCAAAACUGGGACAACGUAAAUGACAAAGGAACAGCCAGAAUGCUUGACAACCAGCAGAGCCAGAGUACUUGAAAACCACAGUGAGGUACACUGCACACAUGGAGAAGGGCAUCUGCUGUCCCUCAGUAGAGCAGAUCCUUAACUUGGAGGUCACAAUGAAGACACAGGAGAAUACAAUUAAGAUUAAACAGUCAAUGAGAUCUCACAGCCAGUAAGACUUCUUCUCCCUACAAUUCAACUUCAUGAGGAAAAAUGUGGCAGAGAAAAUCUUGGGUUACAUUAGACUCACAUAGGACAAGGUGGAAAACUAGUAUUGUCACCAAAAUGCUAUAACUGAACAUGGGACGUAUGUCAGGACAAAGCCCCAAGAUAGGCACUUUCACAAGGGCUGCUUGGCAUACUGUCACACAAAGGCAUGGAAAGGGACACACAGUGGGCUUACCCCCACAACCACGAGGAAGGGUUGUGUAGCAAAAGCUGAAGUGGAACAUGUGGUUAGCUCAGGCCAUACAUGUGAAGCAGCAGUGGAGGCACAGCACAGUAAUAUCACUGAUGGUCAUGCUGAGCACAAUUUCAGAGAUGCAGAAAGCAGUCAGGAAGAGGUACAUGGCUGUGUGUGGACUGUAUGCACUCUGGCAAGGAACUGAAGUGACAAUCAGUUUUCUAGUGUACAUUCCUCUCCCAGUGGGUUUGCAAGUAACUCCUUGCAGAGUCCCCUGCUGUGGAACAGGUGCAUCAGGAGGAAGACAGCUGGCUGGAGCUGCCAUGGGAGAACAAAGAAGCCAAGAGGAUGAACUGCAACCACAUGUAACAGUUCUGAAGGAGCACAGCUCUUGUGCCUGCUGAGAUCCAACACAGAAUGAAAACACAGUGGUGAAAACUUAGGUGGUUGCACAGCUCAAAUGGGAACUUAAUCACUUACCAGUCCAAUUAUUUAAAUACAGGAUGAUCCAAGAUUGCAUAUUUUUUGUGAAUUUUUAUAAGAUAAUAUAGCAGGAAAUAUGAAAAUGACAAUUUUAUCAAAUUUAUUCAAUACAAGAAUCAACAAGUUGAAAUGACUCCUGCUUGAGUGACGCUAGGGAUGGUAUGUAAACAAAAGUGCUGCCCACGUGAUGCUUGGAGGACACUGCUAAGUGGUUAAUAAUUCUAUAUGACUGCACAACAUGCUGGGUAUUUAUUACAGUGUCUCUUUCCUCAUCUAUUCAAAAAUAAUGGUAUUAACAUUCACCAUGGUGAUAAGGGUAAAACAAGAGCCUUAUAUUAAGGGCUUAAGCCAGAGUUUAGCAACUAGCUGGGUUUUCUUAGUACCGACUACAAGAAAGGGCAUGUGUUUACAGUCACUGUAGACAGGAAUUGAUGAUCAGGUUAUAACAAACCUACCUCAGAGUGCACAUGUUCUAGGAAACAUAUAUUUGUAUCUGGUUGGUUUGUAAAAUAUUUUCUCUGAGAGCCCAUCUUUCCUUGAUUAUUUAGAAUGUAUUGAUUUACGUAUGUUUCAAAUGUUCAUUAUUGGCAUUCACUGAAGACACCAUACUCCCUAUUCUAUGGAAAAUAAAGGGAUCUAGGGAUGCUUCUGCACAUUUGAAAUCUAGCUCCUAAGAAAUAUCUAAAGCAAAAGGAUCAUAAUUUUAAGAUAAAAAUGGGUAAAAUAUCAGGAGUUUGUAUUGCUAAGCAACCAACAUAAAAUACAUUGUAAAAUUCUAUGAAACUCAAGUAGUAAACAGCAUCAUGUCACUGAGAAAUAGGUAGAAAUAUCUAAAUCCUAAGUAGUGGACUAAAGUUGCAAAUUUUGACAGACUUCAGAAAUGCAAUGUGGGAAUUAUUUAUUUUAAUACAGUUUAUAAUAUUCACACACUACAUAUCAGAUAAAUUUCAAAUAUUUGUAAAAUACAAACUAUAUGUCUUGCCAAGCAAAUAGGCAACUUUUAAAAACCAUUUUGUUAGGAUAUGUGAAAUCUACUUUCAAUUACAAAAUAUAAAUAUUAGAUUGCUUAUAAUAAGGAAAACUACAAAUUACAGGGGAGGAACAGCUUUAGAAAUCUCAUAUAUUUUCUUUUCCAAGUGUAGGUGGAAGGAAUCAAAUAUCAUCAUCACAUGAAGGAGGUGCUCCACUACUGGACCAGAUUUAAAUUCCACCCAUGUUACUUAUACAAUGUACAUUAAAUAAUCUAGU